Molecule: long non-coding RNA, 449 nt
Filed under: Sorghum bicolor (sorghum)
Lineage: Eukaryota; Viridiplantae; Streptophyta; Magnoliopsida; Poales; Poaceae
Description: long non-coding RNA (SBIC_LNC011635)
Source: RNAcentral
UACAACUCAGAAACCAAAAUCUGCCGAGCUGAUGGAACACGGAUCGGACAUACAGAAUGCGUCUGGGUCCCCAGCAAAAUCCAGCAGGCGGCUCCGGCCACCAGUGCACAAAAUAUAACGCGACUAAUGAUUGGUGGUCAAACAAACACAUUAGAUACAUAAAAUAUUUGAAUUUUUAAACAAGUCGCUUGAACGAGUCGUCCCCGGCGUGGUCAUGGCAUCCGGCGGAUAUUCUCAGCUUAUCCCAUGAACGAGAUAUGACUCAGGUUACGGCAUGACAACACUUGAGAUGUCUGUUUCUGAAUGCUGCUGCAGCAACCUGCCAAGAACCGUCUUCUAAUGAAGUUUUUUAGUACAUUUGCAGAUGAAUCCAACAGAAGUGCUCCAGCCAAAAAAAAGUGCAUGUCACCUUUCCAGUUUCCAGAUGAAAUUCCAAGCUCUGAGAGUGG